AGAGUUUGAUCCUGGCUCAGGACGAACGCUGGCGGCGUGCCUAAUACAUGCAAGUCGAGCGAGCUGAAUUCAAAGAUCCCUUCGGGGUGAUUUGUUGGACGCUAGCGGCGGAUGGGUGAGUAACACGUGGGCAAUCUGCCCUAAAGACUGGGAUACCACUUGGAAACAGGUGCUAAUACCGGAUAACAACAUGAAUCGCAUGAUUCAAGUUUGAAAGGCGGCGCAAGCUGUCACUUUAGGAUGAGCCCGCGGCGCAUUAGCUAGUUGGUGGGGUAAAGGCCUACCAAGGCAAUGAUGCGUAGCCGAGUUGAGAGACUGAUCGGCCACAUUGGGACUGAGACACGGCCCAAACUCCUACGGGAGGCAGCAGUAGGGAAUCUUCCACAAUGGACGCAAGUCUGAUGGAGCAACGCCGCGUGAGUGAAGAAGGUUUUCGGAUCGUAAAGCUCUGUUGUUGGUGAAGAAGGAUAGAGGCAGUAACUGGUCUUUAUUUGACGGUAAUCAACCAGAAAGUCACGGCUAACUACGUGCCAGCAGCCGCGGUAAUACGUAGGUGGCAAGCGUUGUCCGGAUUUAUUGGGCGUAAAGCGAGCGCAGGCGGAAUGAUAAGUCUGAUGUGAAAGCCCACGGCUCAACCGUGGAACUGCAUCGGAAACUGUCAUUCUUGAGUGCAGAAGAGGAGAGUGGAACUCCAUGUGUAGCGGUGGAAUGCGUAGAUAUAUGGAAGAACACCAGUGGCGAAGGCGGCUCUCUGGUCUGCAACUGACGCUGAGGCUCGAAAGCAUGGGUAGCGAACAGGAUUAGAUACCCUGGUAGUCCAUGCCGUAAACGAUGAGCGCUAGGUGUUGGGGACUUUCCGGUCCUCAGUGCCGCAGCAAACGCAUUAAGCGCUCCGCCUGGGGAGUACGACCGCAAGGUUGAAACUCAAAUGAAUUGACGGAAGGGCGA
Molecule: ribosomal RNA, 948 nt
Filed under: uncultured bacterium
Lineage: Bacteria
Description: bacterial SSU rRNA
Rfam family: Bacterial small subunit ribosomal RNA
Source: RNAcentral